RNAcentral lists this ribosomal RNA (507 nucleotides) under uncultured bacterium. Its description in RNAcentral is "partial 16S ribosomal RNA". The record is from RNAcentral.
GGAGUUAGCCGGUGCUUCUUCUGUGAGUGAUGUCCUUCCUGCCGGCUAUUAACCCGCAGGCCUUCUUCCUCACUGAAAGUGCUUUACAACCCGAAGGCCUUCUUCACACACGCGGCAUGGCUGGAUCAGGGUUGCCCCCAUUGUCCAAUAUUCCCCACUGCUGCCUCCCGUAGGAGUCUGGGCCGUGUCUCAGUCCCAGUGUGGCUGAUCAUCCUCUCAGACCAGCUACGGAUCGUCGCCUUGGUGAGCCGUUACCUCACCAACCAGCUAAUCCGACAUAGGCUCAUCCGAUAGCGCGAGGCCCGAAGGUCCCCCGCUUUCCCCCGUAGGGCGUAUGCGGUAUUAGCCUGGGUUUCCCCCAGGUUAUCCCCCACUACCGGGCAGAUUCCUAUGCAUUACUCACCCGUCCGCCGCUCGCCACCAGGGAGCAAGCUCCCCGUGCUGCCGCUCGACUUGCAUGUGUUAGGCCUGCCGCCAGCGUUCAAUCUGAGCANANACAACUACUGA